AGUGAACGCUGGCGGUAGGCCUAACACAUGCAAGUCGAACGGCAGCACAGUAAGAGCCUGCUCUUACGGGUGGCGAGUGGCGGACGGGUGAGGAAUACAUCGGAAUCUACUUUUUCGUGGGGGAUAACGUAGGGAAACUUACGCUAAUACCGCAUACGACCUACGGGUGAAAGCAGGGGAUCUUCGGACCUUGCGCGAUUAAAUGAGCCGAUGUCGGAUUAGCUAGUUGGCGGGGUAAAGGCCCACCAAGGCGACGAUCCGUAGCUGGUCUGAGAGGAUGAUCAGCCACACUGGAACUGAGACACGGUCCAGACUCCUACGGGAGGCAGCAGUGGGGAAUAUUGGACAAUGGGCGCAAGCCUGAUCCAGCCAUACCGCGUGGGUGAAGAAGGCCUUCGGGUUGUAAAGCCCUUUUGUUGGGAAAGAAAAGCAGCAGGUUAAUACCCCGCUGUUCUGACGGUACCCAAAGAAUAAGCACCGGCUAACUUCGUG
RNAcentral lists this ribosomal RNA (492 nucleotides) under uncultured bacterium. RNAcentral describes it as "partial 16S ribosomal RNA". It matches the Rfam family "Bacterial small subunit ribosomal RNA", at positions 29 to 507 of the family's 1533-position model. The record is from RNAcentral.